UACAGAGGUCUCAAGCGUUGUUCGGAUUCAUCGGGCGUAAAGGGUGCGUAGGUGGCGCCGUAAGUCGGGUGUGAAAUUUCGGAGCUUAACUCCGAAACUGCAUUCGAUACUGCGGUGCUUGAGGACUGGAGAGGAGACUGGAAUUCAUGGUGUAGCAGUGAAAUGCGUAGAGAUCAUGAGGAAGACCAGUGGCGAAGGCGGGUCUCUGGACAGUUCCUGACACUGAGGCACGAAGGCCAGGGGAGCAAACGGG
This 253-nucleotide ribosomal RNA is filed under the name uncultured bacterium. RNAcentral's name for it is "partial 16S ribosomal RNA". It matches the Rfam family "Bacterial small subunit ribosomal RNA", at positions 524 to 776 of the family's 1533-position model. The record is from RNAcentral.